UGCACAAUUGCAUAUGUCAGAAGACAAGUUUAAGUGAGCUUCACUGUACAUGAAGUAGAAAUCGAUCAACGUUAUUAUUCGAUCAGUUUUAUUAGUAGUUGAGAGAGUUUGCGAUUACAUUCGUCUGCGUUAUAGACUUUCCGGCAUAUUCCACGUAAUAUGCUUUCCGGUAGAGACAAACUUUGUUCAUAUAAUAAUGUACGCAAACUAUAUAAGGGCAGUGCAGAUCAGAUCAGGCACGAUACCUAUUACGGUAUUAGGGUACUGUGGUAUUGUGGUACUACAGUACUACAGUACUUCGAUAGUAUAUCAAGUUUUUAUAUUCGUCGUGAUUGUCGUAGUCAUAGUAAUUGUUUGUCAUAGUCAUUAUAAUAUACUAGUCAGUUAAUCAAGAAUAAACGCGUACCAGUUUAUUACAUCACAUCCGAAGUGUUCCGCGGUGUCCCCACCCGUGCGAAAGCCGUACCAUGGCUUAAUGUUUUCGAAGUGUCCGCAGUGUCCCAAUCUGCACGAAAGCCGUCCCAGGCUUAAGUUGGAAGCCGUCCCAGACUUCAUAUUUCCGUACAAUUUAAACACAACGUAGGGUUCAGAUGAGCCUCAUCAUAAUCGUGUGGUGAGCGCCAUCAUAAAUUUGGUGCCGUGACCAGGAUUCUCCUUGGGAGACGAACGUAGAGUUACCAGAAUUCUCCUUGCGAGACGAACAAUCAGUUACCAGUGUAAUGUAAUGUAUCGGACGCGACGGUUGAAAUGUGAAAAUGCAGUUCAAUUUUCCAUACGGUUUUUCAUUACCGUUCAUAAUAAGAAGAAAUAAGUCCAAUUCCUAAGAAGAAAACGAUAAUCUAUGAUUACCACGUGGAAGGGUACGAUUGCCUGCCCGAAACCGCCAUUGUUAAAGUUUCAGAACGACCUUCACUGUCAUUUGCAUUCUGUUCGCAAUGAAAUGGAAGUAUUCGUAACAGCCGCAGCUGUCUUUGUUUCGAUUAUGCUCACUAUUUGAUGUGCGGCGAAACCCUGUCGAUAAAAACGGUAACCAGAAAGUACUCAAUUCAGUGUAAAGCUAUUCCGCAAAACGAGAAUGCUGUUCAGAAAAUAUGUGUGACAUGUGCCCAAAAUGCCGGUAUGGCAACGUUCCCAUUGUGUCUUGAAAUUCAUCAUCGAAUAAUAAAAUUGCAUGCACUUGUGAAGUUAGAUCCCCACAUAUUUCCGUUGAGUAAUGCCACUCUAACUGUGAUACCUAUCGAAUAUCAAAAUGUGCGCACCUUCACUCACCCAUCAUGAAAUACGAGCAGAAUGCAUCUCCGCCGUCUAUUGUCAUACGUCAUGACCUCACGUAAAGAGCAAAAGCAAACUGUCAAGCUGAUAAUUUUGCAAAAUGUCGGUUGUUAAGUUCUACAGUAUCGGAUCGUUCGUGCUUUGUUUCGUUCAGGCCUGCUGAGGUGUUCCAAUCAUCUGGAUGGUUUUAUAAUCCAUUUUGCGAAAUGUAAAUGACUCAACAGCGGUGCGUGCCAGUAAGUCAUUCGGGCUUGUUUCUACAACAAGCAGCGGCAUUCAUUCACUUCGGGUUGAAUUCAGCACAAUUCAAUCAAGUUCUAUAUUGAACCAUCAGCGUACUCAUCCGAUCAAGUACGAACUCCAAAGGCUCGCGUAGGAGAUGCGUCGCCAGUCAACAAAGUUUAUCAUUGUGUUGAAGCAUUCUUUAUAAUUCGGAGAAACAGUUUCCGGCGGUGUUCCUAUCCGCUAACAAGCCGUCCCAGCUUUUAGUUCGCAAGCCGUCCCAGGCGUAGGUUAAAAGGACGUACCUCACUGUUAGCUAACAAGCCGUCCCAGGUUUUAAUUCACCGUCACCGACGUUCCUCACUGUUAGUUUGCAAGCCGUUCCAGGGUUAAGGGUGAAAGCUGUCCCAGGCCUCAACCAUUACCAGCAAUUCAUCUUCUUUCGUAUCAUCGGAACAAAAGUACACAAAAAUUAUCGUAUGUUAGGAAACAGUUCAGCAAAAGUCGAAGCACUAUUCUCGUCAGAGCAUCAGCAAUGUUUUAUUGGAAAUCCAUAGUCAACUUUCCCGAUCGUCAGCAUCAACUUCAUGUACCAAACAGUUUCGCCAGUUAGAGGAUCAUUACAGCUGCAUAUAAUCACCAUCACGUCAGAGAAGCAGUUUAACCUUAAUCUUCGUCAUCGAUGUCUCCGAUACACUCUCUCACCAGUAUGCUGUACAAUGUCAACAAAAUCAGCGGUUGACAACCACAUGUCAGAAGUGGUUUCGAGGUUCCAGCAACGAAGCAAGCAGGGAUGGUUCAGUUUCUGAUCGAGGUGAUCAGAACUACCAUCCCAACACUAUUCCAAGUUAAGUAUACAAUCUAAAUUGAAAGCAGCAGAAACUGAUCCGUCCUCCCAUACAGGCAACGUUGUAAUAGUCAACAUUACCGCAGAUCAUAAUUCAUCACCACCAAGGGUGAAGCAGAACUACGGAGACGGUUAACAGAAGGAAUUCAACUACCAGAUUUUCAUCAAAGAAAGUGGAUCCAUGUAUCAGUUGUAGUCUACUAGAUCAUCAGCUCACUUGUCCUGCAGCAACAUUCCGUUUCCAUGCAACAACACGCUGUUCGACGAAGUUUAUCCCAGUCAACAACAUUGCUACGGUCUUAGCAAUCAUCGCGGCUCAUCGCAGUGGUGGAACCAGCGGAGUCGCUCGGGUCUUGUCUUAUCGACGCCGGCUGCAUAGCAGUUGACGGAGUCGAAUUCAAGUCUCCCGUCCUCGACGCCCAUGGUUCGCCAAAGGAUCAUCGAGUACCAGCAAGCAGCAUACUAAAAUUAUUGUGAAUAGCAAAUACAGAGAAUUUGUGAUAAAUAGGCUAGUCAGGGAAAUAGAACUCGUACAGUAAUUUUGGAUAUGUAAUAACAGUAGGCAGUUCAGAAAUCGCAUACAGUAUUACACAGCAGUAAUGAGUCUCAAUUGUAUCAUGCUAAGAUAGGUCAGUUCAUUGACAUCAGAUAAAGUUUGUUGAAAGCGUAGUCUUUCAAGGCGGGCGGUAUGUUGAUGCACAAUUGCAUAUGUCAGAAGACAAGUUUAAGUGAGCUUCACUGUACAUGAAGUAGAAAUCGAUCAACGUUAUUAUUCGAUCAGUUUUAUUAGUAGUUGAGAGAGUUUGCGAUUACAUUCGUCUGCGUUAUAGACUUUCCGGCAUAUUCCACGUAAUAUGCUUUCCGGUAGAGACAAACUUUGUUCAUAUAAUAAUGUACGCAAACUAUAUAAGGGCAGUGCAGAUCAGAUCAGGCACGAUACCUAUUACGGUAUUAGGGUACUGUGGUAUUGUGGUACUACAGUACUACAGUACUUCGAUAGUAUAUCAAGUUUUUAUAUUCGUCGUGAUUGUCGUAGUCAUAGUAAUUGUUUGUCAUAGUCAUUAUAAUAUACUAGUCAGUUAAUCAAGAAUAAACGCGUACCAGUUUAUUACAUCACAUCCGAAGUGUUCCGCGGUGUCCCCACCCGUGCGAAAGCCGUACCAUGGCUUAAUGUAUUCGAAGUGUCCGCAGUGUCCCAAUCUGCACGAAAGCCGUCCCAGGCUUAAGUUGGAAGCCGUCCCAGACUUCAUAUUUCCGUACAAUUUAAACACAAC
Malaya genurostris is the source of this 3615-nucleotide long non-coding RNA. RefSeq lists it as uncharacterized. NCBI's taxonomy places the organism in Eukaryota, Metazoa, Arthropoda, Insecta, Diptera, Culicidae. The record is from RefSeq and is a predicted model, not a curated record. The transcript is spliced from 3 exons.